This 365-nucleotide ribosomal RNA is filed under the name uncultured eukaryote. Its description in RNAcentral is "partial 18S ribosomal RNA". It matches the Rfam family "Eukaryotic small subunit ribosomal RNA", at positions 592 to 976 of the family's 1831-position model. The record is from RNAcentral.
CAAUAGCGUAUAUUUAAGUUGUUGCAGUUAAAAAGCUCGUAGUCGGAUUUUGGCUGAGAACGAUCGGUCCGCCGUUAGGUGUGCACUGAUUGGUCUCAGCUUCCUGGUGAGGAGGUGUGCUUCACGGCCACUUAGUCACCGUGGUUACUUUGAAAAAAUUAGAGUGUUCAAAGCGGGCUUACGCUUGAAUAUAUUAGCAUGGAAUAACACCAUAGGAAUCCUGUCCUAUUUCGUUGGUCUCGGGACGGGAGUAAUGAUUAAGAGGAACAGUUGGGGGCAUUCGUAUUUCAUUGUCAGAGGUGAAAUUCUUGGAUUUAUGAAAGACGAACUUCUGCGAAAGCAUUUGCCAAGGAUGUUUUCAUUGA